RNAcentral lists this RNase P RNA (394 nucleotides) under Psychromarinibacter sediminicola. RNAcentral describes it as "RNase P RNA component class A". It matches the Rfam family "Bacterial RNase P class A". Rfam says of the family: Ribonuclease P (RNase P) is a ubiquitous endoribonuclease, found in archaea, bacteria and eukarya as well as chloroplasts and mitochondria. The record is from RNAcentral. Lineage: Bacteria; Pseudomonadati; Pseudomonadota; Alphaproteobacteria; Rhodobacterales; Paracoccaceae.
GCGGAUGGCCGGAUGGCCGCGGGAGCGAUCCCGAGGAAAGUCCGGACUCCACAAGGCGACGGUGCCGGGUAACCCCCGGCCGGGGUCGGCGGGGCAACCCGCCGUGAACCCGAGGGAAAGCGCCACAGAAAACAGACCGCCCGCGCAAGCGGGUCAGGGUGAAACGGUGGGGUAAGAGCCCACCGCGGGCCGGGCAACCGGGCCGGCACGGCAAGCCCCACCGGGAGCAAUGCCGAAUAGGGAUCCCGCGCCCCCGUGCGGGGACAGGGCGCCUUGCCCCAGGGAUCCGGGUAGGCAGCUUGAGGUGCCGGGCAACCGGCAUCCGAGAGGAAUGGCCAUCUCCGGCGGGUCCGCCCACCGACGACAGAAUCCGGCUUACAGGCCGUCCGCGCAU